UGCGGAGGGUGCGAGCGUUGUCCGGAAUCAUUGGGCGUAAAGGGCGCGUAGGUGGCCCGGUCAGUUCGUGGUGAAAGCGCGGGGCUCAACCCUGCGUCGGCCAUGAAUACUGCCGCGGCUGGAGCACUGUAGAGGCAGGCGGAAUUCCGGGUGUAGCGGUGAAAUGCGCAGAUAUCAGGAAGAACACCCGUGGCGAAGGCGGUUCUCUGGGACGGUACUGACGCUGAGACGCGAAAGCGUGGGGAGCGAACAGG
RNAcentral lists this ribosomal RNA (254 nucleotides) under uncultured bacterium. Its description in RNAcentral is "partial 16S ribosomal RNA". It matches the Rfam family "Bacterial small subunit ribosomal RNA", at positions 524 to 776 of the family's 1533-position model. The record is from RNAcentral.